CUGGCACCCACAUGUGCUAAGCAUCAACAUGGCUCCCAUAGGGCCACCAACCUAAAUCCCUACUCCAGGUCUGGCACAUUUUCUGUGUCCACAGUUCCCCUGGGGUGCACAGAAUGAGGUCAAUCUCCCUGUUUCUAGAUAAUCAAAAGACAGAUGUCACAAACAGCCAUGUCGGUGGCCGAGAGUGGCAGCUUGGAUGUCAGAGCAGGAAGAAGGGGCUUUGAGUGCAGCUCAGUUAAGUACCGGCUGACCGCAGGGAAGGGCCCAGACCCCGCGGGAGCUACGCUCCACUGUCCCAUUGGACUUCACUUGGAAAACACAAAUGGAAAGACUCAACGACAAGAUGCAGGUGCUCUUUCCGUGUCCCAGGCCCCGCAUGAGGGAAGAAGUUGGGGUGCUGACCCCUCGCCAGCCUUGGCCAGGGUCUGGAGGGAAGAUACCAGCAGAGAGUCAGUCCAGCUGGCGGAGGCUUGGUACUGCUCGGAGGAGACUUGGGGCUCUGGCCACGGGAGACGGCAGCGGUGGCCCCGCGGGACCCGCACCCUCUACUCCUGCCACCAUCGGGCUCCAGCUUUCCGGCCUUGUGGCCAGUCUCUCCCUUUGGGGGGCCUGUGACUCAGCCAAGGGUUCUAUGUGGCAGGAAGUGGGCACAGUGAGUCACGGGGUGGCUCUGUACCCUCUCUCCCUGAGGCGGGAUAGCAGCUGCCCCCCCCAGGGCCGGAGACAGCCCUGAAAGAGGGGGCUCUGCACCCCACGGUAGUAAUUACAGGGAGGCCUGCUUCGGAGGACCCGGGCCCGGAGCCCUGGGCUGGAGGG
Molecule: long non-coding RNA, 816 nt
Organism: Suricata suricatta (meerkat)
Lineage: Eukaryota; Metazoa; Chordata; Mammalia; Carnivora; Herpestidae
Exons: 4
Source: RefSeq, a predicted model, not a curated record